AUGACCCCAGGUCAGACGAGAUUACCCGCUGAAUUUAAGCAUAUCAAUAAGUGGAGGAAAUGGAACUUACAAGGAUUCCCCUAGUAACGGCGAGUGAAUCGGGAAACGGCGAGUGAAUCGGGAAGAGCCCCAGCUUGAGAAUCAGGUGCCUCUUUACAUUCGGAUUGUAGUCUGGAGAAGCGUCCUCAGCGGCAGACCGGGCCCAAGUGCCCUGCAAGGGGGCGCCAGAGAGGGUGAGAGCCUCGUUGUGCCUAGACCUGUCGCACCACGAGGCGCUGUCGGCGAGUCGGGUUGUUUGGGAAUGCAGCCCCAAUUGGGCGGUAAAUUCCGUCCAAGUCUGAAUAUGGGUGAGAGAUUGAUAGCAAACAAGUACCGCGAGGGAAAGAUAAAAAGGACUUUGAAAAGAGAGUCAAAGAUUGCUUGAAAUUAUCAGGAGGGAAGCGGAUGGGGGCCGGCGAUGCGCCCUAGUCGGAUGUGGAACGGUGUAUGCCGGUCUGCCGAUAAACUCGGGGUGUGGAUUGAUGCGGAUUGCGGCGGCGGCCCAAGCCUGGGUUGUAGUCAUGCCCGUAGAGACGUCGUUGACGUGAUCGUGGCAGGCAACACGUGCCGCAAGGCAUGCUUCGGCAUCUGUGUGCUCUUGGCAUCGGCUUGUGGGCACCCCAUUCGGCCCGUCUUGAAACACGAACGAAGGAGUCUAACAUGUAUGUGAGUCAACGGGCUAGGAAACCCGUAUGGCGCAAGGAAGCUGAUUGCUGGGAUCCCCUUGUGAGUUGCACCGCCGACCGACCUUGAUCUCUUGAGAAGGGUUUGUGUCAAAGCAUACUUGUCGGGACUCGAAAGAUGGUGAACUAUGCUUGACGUGCAAAUCGUUCAUCUGACUUGGGUAUAGGGGCGAAAGACUAAUUGAACCGUCUAGUAGCUGGUUCCCUCCGAAGUUUCCCUCAGGAUAGCUGGAGCCCACGGGCGAGUUCUAUCGGGUAAAGCCAAUGAUUAAAGGCAUCAGGGGCGCAACGCCCUCGACCUAUUCUCAAACUUUAAAUAGGUAGGACGAUGGUCAUGCCAAGGAAUCGAGAGCUCCAAGUGGGCCAUUUUUGGUAAGCAAAACUGGCGAUGCGGGAUGAACCAGAAGUCGGGUUACGGUGCCCAACUGAGCGCUAACCUAGAACCCACAAAGGGUGUUGGUCGAUUAAGACAGCAGGACGAUGGUCAUCGAAGUCGAAAUCCGCUAAGGAGUGUGUAACAACUCACCUGCCGAAUCAACUAGCCCUAAAAAUUGAUGGCGCUGAAGUGUGCGACCAAUACUCGGCCGUUGGGGCAAGUGCCAGGCCCAUCGGGGCAUGUGAACGGCUCUUGCACAUGGGUUAGUCGAUCCUAAGAGACGGGGGAUGCCCGUCCGAUAGCGUGCAGCAAGCGAGCUUUGAAAGGGAACCGGGUUAAAAUUCCUGAACAGGGACGUGGCAGCUGACGGCAAUGUUAGGGAGUCCAGAGACAUCAGUAGGGAACCUCGGGAAGAGUUAUCUUUUCUAUUUAAUAGCCUGCCCACCCUGGAAACGGCUCAGUCGGAGGUAGGGUCCAGCGGUUGGAAGAGCAUCGCACUUCGCGUGGUGUUCGGCAUUAGGUCUCCAAGGUGAACUACCUCUGGUCGAUGGAACAAUGUAGGCAUGGGAAGUCGGCAAAAUGGAUCCGUAACCUCGGGAAAAGGAUUGGCUCUAUGGGCUGGGCACGGGUGUCCCAGUCCAGAACCCGUCGGCUGUCGAUGGACUGCUCAAGCUGUCCCGCGGUGAGAGUGGGUCACCGCGUGCCAGGUGAGGGACGGACUGGGAACGAUUGCUUAGGCGGACUUCCCCGGGCGUCAAACAGUCGACUCAGAACUAGUACGGACAAGGGGAAUCUGAUUGUUUAAUUAAAACAAAGCAUUGCGGUGGUCCCUACGGAUGCUUACGCAAUGUGAUUUCUGCCCAGUGCUCUGAUUGUCAAAGUGAAGAAAUUCAACCAAGCACGGGUAAACGGCGGGAGUAACUAUGACUCUCUUAAGGUAACCAAUUGGAUUAAAGAGAUUCCCAUUGUCCCUGUCUACUAUCCAGCAAAACCACAGCCAUGGGAACGAGCUUGGCAGAAUCAGCGGGGAAAGAAGACCCUGUUGAGUUUGACUCUAGUCCAACUUUGUGAAAUGACUUGAGAGGUGUAGGAUAAGUGGGAGCCGAAUGGUGAAAGUGAAAUACCACUACUUUUAACGUUAACGUUAUUUUACUUAUUACGUGAGUCGGAGGCGGGGCAUUGCCCCUCUUUUUGGACCCAAGGUGCGUUUCGGCAGGCUGAUACGGGCGAAAUUCACCAAGUGUUGGAUUGUUCACCCGCCAAUAUGGAACGUGAGCUGGGUUUAGACGAUCGUGAGACAGGUUAGUUUUACCCUACUGAUGACAAUGUCGCAAUAGUAAUUCAACCUAGUACGAGAGGAACCGUUGAUUCGCAAAAUUGGUCAUCGCGCUUGUUUGAAAAGCCAUUGGCGCGAAGCUACCGAGUGCUGGAUUAUGAUUGAACGCCUCAAAGUCAGAAUCCGGGCUAGAAGCGACGUGUGACCCCAUCACCCGAUUAUCGACCUACAGUACGGGCGUUAGGGCCCCAAGAGGCACGUGUCAUUGGUGAAGCCCUCGCGGCGGAUGAGCCGUGUGGGUCGCCUUGAAGUACAAUUUUCAUCGAGCGGC
Molecule: ribosomal RNA, 2705 nt
Filed under: Juglans mandshurica
Lineage: Eukaryota; Viridiplantae; Streptophyta; Magnoliopsida; Fagales; Juglandaceae
Description: eukaryotic LSU rRNA
Rfam family: Eukaryotic large subunit ribosomal RNA
Source: RNAcentral